AGUUUGAAUCCUGGCUCAGAGCGAACGCUGGCGGCAGGCUUAACACAUGCAAGUCGAGCGGGCGUAGCAAUACGUCAGCGGCAGACGGGUGAGUAACGCGUGGGAACGUACCUUUUGGUUCGGAACAACACAGGGAAACUUGUGCUAAUACCGGAUAAGCCCUUACGGGGAAAGAUUUAUCGCCGAAAGAUCGGCCCGCGUCUGAUUAGCUAGUUGGUGAGGUAAUGGCUCACCAAGGCGACGAUCAGUAGCUGGUCUGAGAGGAUGAUCAGCCACAUUGGGACUGAGACACGGCCCAAACUCCUACGGGAGGCAGCAGUGGGGAAUAUUGGACAAUGGGGGCAACCCUGAUCCAGCCAUGCCGCGUGAGUGAUGAAGGCCCUAGGGUUGUAAAGCUCUUUUGUGCGGGAAGAUAAUGAC
RNAcentral lists this ribosomal RNA (420 nucleotides) under Bradyrhizobium japonicum. Its description in RNAcentral is "bacterial SSU rRNA". It matches the Rfam family "Bacterial small subunit ribosomal RNA", at positions 10 to 455 of the family's 1533-position model. The record is from RNAcentral. Lineage: Bacteria; Pseudomonadati; Pseudomonadota; Alphaproteobacteria; Hyphomicrobiales; Nitrobacteraceae.